UACGAAGGGGGCUAGCGUUGCUCGGAAUCACUGGGCGUAAAGGGUGCGUAGGCGGGUCUUUAAGUCAGGGGUGAAAUCCUGGAGCUCAACUCCAGAACUGCCUUUAAUACUGAAGAUCUUGAGUUCGGGAGAGGUGAGUGGAACUGCGAGUGUAGAGGUGAAAUUCGUAGAUAUUCGCAAGGACACCAGUGGCGAAGGCGGCUCACUGGCCCGAUACUGACGCUGAGGCACGAAAGCGUGGGGAGCAAACAGG
Molecule: ribosomal RNA, 253 nt
Filed under: uncultured bacterium
Lineage: Bacteria
Description: partial 16S ribosomal RNA
Rfam family: Bacterial small subunit ribosomal RNA
Source: RNAcentral